RNAcentral lists this unclassified non-coding RNA (204 nucleotides) under Hevea brasiliensis (rubber tree). Lineage: Eukaryota; Viridiplantae; Streptophyta; Magnoliopsida; Malpighiales; Euphorbiaceae. The record is from RNAcentral.
AACCGCUGCUUCUCUUCGCCCCUGCAAUUAAGACAAAUUAUUUUCCUUUCUUUUACAAUUAUGCAGAUCAUUAUUAUUUCUUUUAAAAGUAUAAUUUUAAAGCUUCACCAAUUAAUUUAUAUAAUAGUCUUAGUUUAAAAUUUUAAAUAUAUGAUAUAUACUCGACUCGACUCAACUUAAUUCAACUAAAUCUUUAUCUCAAAA